Pleuronectes platessa (European plaice) is the source of this 1625-nucleotide long non-coding RNA. RefSeq lists it as uncharacterized. NCBI's taxonomy places the organism in Eukaryota, Metazoa, Chordata, Actinopteri, Pleuronectiformes, Pleuronectidae. The transcript has 2 exons. The record is from RefSeq and is a predicted model, not a curated record.
CAUAAAACAGUGUAGUAGUAAGGAUACUUUGUUUUGUUUUGGCUGUUGGGGCUGAUUCUAUUUAGUAGAAUGGGGCAUUUGCAAGGGUUGAUGGGUUAGGGAAGAGAAGGUCAGGAUAGGAAGAGAUUAGUUCCUUCUAUUUGCUAACAGGAAACAGAAAGAGGUUAGGAGAGAGGGAGGACGGCAUGAGAGAGGGUUGGAUAGGAGGGAGGAGUAAACCUUACCCUAUGAGAGGAGAUUAGGAGAGAUGGUGGAGGGUAGGAGUGAGGGAGCAGUAGGUUUGCCUCUUUCCUACUGUCCUUUCACCCUACUUUGGCUCUUUUGGGUCAAAUGCUUCGUUGGAUAAAGUGCAGUCUCUUCUGUCUUCCCGGAAAUCCUUGCGUCUUAAGGAAGCACAAAACCUUAGCCUCAGAGUAGGACGAACCUAUGAACAUGUAAGUUGGUCUCUUAUGUUUCAUGUGCACCAUUAAAUAUUCACUAAAUUAAAGGAUUACCGUAAGAGUAUUAAUUUUAAGCAAUGAGACACGACAUGCCAUUCUUUACGGCACAGUUACCACAAACACGGUAAGGAAUGGCAUCUAGAUUCUUUGACACAACCCUCAUUGUGAUCAACAAUGCUCAAACACCACUUUUUUUUUAAUCAUAUUUAAAUAGUUGAUGAUCAUUGAAUGUACAACUCCAUUUAUACAUAACUUGACUUUUUGUUUUGUUUUCCAGGCUUUUAGGGAGUCAAAGAUCUUGAGGUCAUUGUAACCUUGAACUCCAUCGCAUUCUCAUGAACGCUAUAUCUACAGUGCCUUCAGAGAAUUUUUUCAAAUUAACACGCACUUGGCCUCAAUGAUGAGCUGCUUAGAAUUUGGUGGUCAAAGGUGAGGGUGACACAGCUCAUUGUUCUCUGUUCUCUCCAUCUUUCAGGACAUCGAAUGCAGUGAGGCCGAGGCAGAUGUCGCAGGGACAACCAUGGCAAUCUACACCGUUCAAGCUGAGGGUGAUGAUCAUGAUGGUCCUGGUGGACUCUUUGCAGAUGUCGGUAUGGUCCUGGAAGGGGUCCAAGUUCUCAACAACCUCCAAAGUAUCAACCAUGCAUGCAUAAUGCUUUAUGGGUUGGUCUAUGCUCUUAAUUUGAGCUAUCCAAAAAACUUGAAGUAUACAUUCGAAGCUUACCAGAAGAUCCUGAUGGACCUGGAAUCGUCCAAGCCUUCAGCCAAAGUACGAGCACUGAAACUCAAAUUGUUCAGGUGACUCUUUUUUUGGGGUGGGGUGGUGAUGGGAGGAGGAAGUACAGGAAGAGACCUAUGUUCUACUACUAUAUGUUUAAUGUUGUUGAGCCUGAAGAGUUUGUUCUGUCCUUUCAUAUCCCAUUACAGCGAUCGUUCCAGCAGAUACAGAUGUAAGGAAUGUUGUUGAGCCUGUAGUUUGUUUGUUUGUUCUAGAUCUAGAAAAAAGAGCAGGUCCUUUACUGCCAUUGUUGGAGCAGAUACUAACUUGCCUCUGUUCUAUUGCAAUUACAAAACAUGUUUCAUGUUCCAUCUAUAGCAGUAGAUUACUUGGUUGAAGAGCUACACUACCUGCUGAGUACAGUGUCUGUGUGAAGAGAAGCGUUAAUAAAUUAGUUGAAUCAACAA